This 468-nucleotide ribosomal RNA is filed under the name uncultured bacterium. RNAcentral's name for it is "partial 16S ribosomal RNA". It matches the Rfam family "Bacterial small subunit ribosomal RNA", at positions 28 to 507 of the family's 1533-position model. The record is from RNAcentral.
GACGAACGCUGGCGGCGUGCUUAACACAUGCAAGUCGAACGGAAAGGCCCUGCUUUUGUGGGGUGCUCGAGUGGCGAACGGGUGAGUAACACGUGAGUAACCUGCCCUUGACUUUGGGAUAACUUCAGGAAACUGGGGCUAAUACCGGAUAGGAGCUCCUGCUGCAUGGUAGGGGUUGGAAAGUUUCGGCGGCUGGGGUUGGACUCGCGGCUUAUCAGCUUGUUGGUGGGGCAGUGGAUUACCAAUGCUUUGACGGGUAGCCGGACUGAGAGGGUGACCGGCCACAGUGGGACUGAGAUACGGCCCAGACUCCUACGGGAGGCAGCAGUGGGGAAUAUUGCACGAUGGGCGGAAGCCGGAUGCAGCAACGCCGCGUGCGGGAUGACGGCCGUCGGGUUGUAAACCGCGUGCGCCUGUGGCGAAGCGUGAGUGACGGUAAUGGGUAAAGAAGCACCGGCUAACUACGUG